Molecule: ribosomal RNA, 120 nt
Filed under: uncultured bacterium
Lineage: Bacteria
Description: partial 16S ribosomal RNA
Rfam family: Bacterial small subunit ribosomal RNA
Source: RNAcentral
GGUAAACGCUGGCGGCGUGCCUAAAACAUGCAAGUCGAACGCACCCCUAUCCAGGGGUGAGUGGCAGACGGCUGAGUAACGCGUGGGUGACCGACCUCGAAGUGGGGAAUAACUGCCCGA